Molecule: small RNA, 137 nt
Filed under: Serratia odorifera DSM 4582
Lineage: Bacteria; Pseudomonadati; Pseudomonadota; Gammaproteobacteria; Enterobacterales; Yersiniaceae
Description: isrN Hfq binding RNA
Rfam family: isrN Hfq binding RNA
Source: Rfam by way of RNAcentral
UGAGGGCCCGGUCAUCGCGGCAGCUGCGGUAGUUGUAGACCGUUCGGCUCUGCAUCAUCAGCCGGCAUCCCCUGCGAACCCCGAUGCGGUACGCCGCCAGCAGGUAUUCGACCGCCUCGCGUUUCUGCACCGGCCUC